AUAUAAGAAUGCCCACUUUAUCUUAAGAUGGCUGAUAAACUAGACAGUGUUAAAAUAAUUAUAUUGAAUACAAUUUAAAAAAUUGUAGCAAAGGCAACACGUAUUAAAACUGAUAAAUGUAAUAAGGUGUUACAUAAAGGUAAGUUGUAGAUCAUUCUAAAGUGGCACACAUUAUGUUGCUGAUUGUAUCUAAACGUAUUGUUAUAUUCGUUGAGAUCGCAAAUUACAAAGGAAGAAUACAAUCUUGGAUAAAAAUUCGAUAUCAUAAUUCAAUUCAAGGUGAUAUAUUCAAUCAACAUUAGCACCAAACUUAGAAAUAUGCUGUAUGAAUAGCUAAAUCAUUUCCUGAGUUCGCAAUAGGGUGCAAAUGGGAUGAAUUUGUUCACUUCCUUGUAUUCCUUGUAUU
RNAcentral lists this long non-coding RNA (406 nucleotides) under Mytilus galloprovincialis (Mediterranean mussel). The record is from RNAcentral. Lineage: Eukaryota; Metazoa; Mollusca; Bivalvia; Mytilida; Mytilidae.